Non-coding RNA from Anas platyrhynchos (mallard), 4873 nucleotides. The record is from RefSeq and is a predicted model, not a curated record. Lineage: Eukaryota; Metazoa; Chordata; Aves; Anseriformes; Anatidae.
UUCCGGAUCCAUUCCCAUCACCAAGCGCUGCGCUGAAAAUGUCAGGCACUGCACACGCUUGCUGUGUGUCUCCACAGGGGUUUCUGUCAAUAUACACUUUCUGUUACCCAAUUUAGAUGCUGAACAUCGAAGUCUUGAGCGUUUGAUUCAAAAUUCAACAAAUAAUGAGCACCAAGGGUGCAGUUCUACAUUGCCUUGAAAAAUAAAAUCUCCUUUGAGCUGUGAAAAACAAGAUACUCGGUAAUUUUACCUUGAGUUCUACACCUGAAGGAAGGUUUUGGAGAUUGUGAGUAAUCUUUUUAACUGCUGGCAGCUGAGCUCUUUGAAGGCUCUCCCCAGGUUGCCCCCAUGGUUUGUAAUCAGGUGUGCACAAUAAAUGUUAAUGAGGGGGUGCUCUGGAGGUUUGGUUAAGCAGUGCAAAGGUUUGUUCGCUGGUAGAGGGUGGGAGGUCCAGAAACCCAGUGGAGCUACCCCAAAGGAGCAGAUAUGUUGUCACUUUUAAAAAUCUUCUCAGGAGUUAACAGUGGGGGGAAAAGAUGAAGAUGUUCAGAGGAGCGAUGCUGGGAAUACUUCUGUGGUCCGUGCUGUUUGCUGUCUGGUGUUUGACAUCCACUUUCUCCAUCUCGCUUCCAUCAGUGGCUCCCUGCAGAAUCUCAGCUGUAAGCUUUCCCUGCCUGCUUCCAUGAGCUAGCCUGCUGGGUCUCACGCUUCCCAAAAUGAUGUGCAGGUAGUGAUAUGCUCUCUGCCUUGGAGAUCAGAGAUGAAAGAAGUGAAGAUUGCCAUCAGGGAAUUGUUUGGUUUUCUGUGCUGGGUACACAAGGGGGUGUCUAUAGCUCUUCAUUUGGGUACUUGUCCCAGCCAUACAAAUCCACCUCUGCUGAGUACGAAGCACAGAAAUACUUUUUCUUGAGACAGCGUGAGCUUUGGCUUAUCCCUGAUGGAUUUACGAGGAUGCAGGAGAAGAUGGAAAGCCAAGUCUGAGCAGAAAGCGAGGGGAGCUGGGUGGCAGCAGCAUGGGUGCUGUGCCCAGACCCUGCGUGGGCUGGAAGUGCUGGGUAUCCCUGCUGUGCUGCGUGGCUUCAUCCUGCCAAAGCCAGCCAGAGCUGGGUGUGCUCUGCCCAGGGCUGCUUCUGAGGAGAAGCUCUUGCCAGCUGGAAGAGCUGAGGUCUCGAAAGCAGGGUGAGCAGCUCAUCGGAGUCAAGACCAUCUUCUAAAUGUUAACGGGCACAUUGCAGGAGAUGCUCAGCAGGCACAAAAGGUCACUACUGCCCAGGCUUUCAGUAAAACAAAGGCCAGCUAUUUUUAACCUAAUUUCAAGUGGAAAGCCUAAAGCCAUAAGCUGGCCUGAUUGCAAAAAGCCUGGACUCGCCUGAUAAUCAGAGCUGGAUGUGUAAUGUGGGACUGUGACCAUGUACACGUUCACAAGCCGCAUCCAAAAAUCCCUUCUGAACUCUGCUAAUGCAGUGAUGGUUGUGGGCAUGGCCUGACCCUGCGGAGUCCUGCACUAAAAAGCUGUUCCUGAGUUACUGUAAGGGACAGGGAGUUUGGGAACUGAAGGUGGGAGCUGCAGGCAUAACUUGCAUGACUUAAUAAUGCCCCCAUCUUCAGCUGCCACUGCAAAUCAGUGAAAAAAACAAGAUAUUGUAUUGAUUACCAGGCAAAUGGGACGUGCCAGAAAGGAUCUUGUUUUCUGUUUGGGUAACCCAGGGCUCCUUGGAUGUGUCCUAUAUAGAAAGCAGCUUUGAAUCUGAAGGUGUCUUUAAAAAUAUGUAUUUAAAAUAGAUCCAUAGAGAUCAUGACCUGCUGGCUGCAGUGUGAGCAUUGACAGGAGAAGCUCUGCACCUGCUUCAUGUGGCUUCCUUCAGCCUGGAGGCCGAGCCAAGAGAAGCCAUGUUCUGGUCCUGCACCAUAUCCUGAUGUUCUUCUCACUGCUGCUGUAGAAAGCAGGACUGCAGGUACAGGUUUCCUAACACUUGUUCCUGGUGUAGGAGAAGAGUUACCAGGACUUCUUGGUGGACUUCAUAAACUCUGCAGUCCCUGAACUGAGCAGCACCGGGCUUCACACAGGUUCAGUGUGCUGCCUCUCUGGUGUGACAAAGCUGUGUCAAGGAAAGGGGGGAAAAAAGGGCAAAUUUGGGCCAACCAGCCUUAUUUCUCCUGAAAUGGGGUUUUAUAGCAGGGCUUUUCUUGAACUUAUGGAGCAUAUGUGGAAUACUUUUGACUUCUUAUCAGCCUGCCAGUGAAGACCUUCUCCAUAGCAGGGACAGGCAUGGACUCUCAGCUGCCCUGCUGUGCAGUGAUGAGAGUAGAUCACCUUCUGGUUACAGCACAGGAAUGGGAGGGCUUGUGAGCAGAGGAGCCGCUUCUUCCAUCAAUGGUCACUGAGGGCUUGGUAAAGCAAGUAGCUUUGCUCCUGGAGCACCUGAGCACAUCGUUUCCCUUGGCAAACAAAGCUGAUCUGUGCCAUUGGGUGGCUGCCAAGCACAGCAUCGGGUCCCUGCCUGCAGCAGUGAUGGAGAGGCUUUGUGUCCAAAUUAAUACAUGUGACACAGCCCGGGCCUGUUCUUGGCUGCUUUCUGACGAGCUCUGGUGGGACGCAGUCCUCAGCCUGUGGCAGUAAGCGUUGCUGGCAAGUCCUGUGGUUCCAAUUUCCCUGCUGCUCAUCUGUCUCCAUCUGCCUUUGGGCCAGUGCAGGGGAUGCCGUGGCUCAGCUCCUGAGCUACGUGCUGUGUUUUAGGGGAAGAUGCUGCUGUGGUGGUGAUUUUUCACUGAGCAGGCGCACAGCGUGCAUGGCCACUGCUAUUUCUAGGUGCUGCGGUACUGCCAGACUCUCUCUUUUGCUCAAGAAGCACAAGCAUGGUUUUCUGCAGCUCCAUAAGAGAUUUGGAGCUCUAUGGCUUAAAAUAAAAUUAAAAAAAAAAAAAAUAAGCCCAGCUAUCUCACUGGUGUGUGCUGCCCCUCUGGAUCUGAGGGGUGCCCCAGACCUCCUGAACACGCCUGGUGCUGCACUCACCAGCACUUGGCAUUAGUGCUUCAAUCUCUGAGGAGACCAGCAUGUCCUCAGGCUGUCAGAGUGCACCGAUCACACACAUGUAUCUCUUUAUCUUAUUUGUAGGGCUCCUGUCCCCAAGCUGUGAGGUGCUGCAGAGGUCACUGAGCUCGUGCUUGCCCAGAAAUUCCCAUGGAAAACCAUUGAUAGGUCAGGAAUGGCAGUGCAGGGCUGGCUUUGGAGGAUCCCGAAGUGCACCAUGAGUAUGUUGUUGCCCUCAUUCUUCUUUCCAGGCACAGAUUUCUUUAAGUUCUUUGGUAGAAGUUGUACAGGACAUCUCUCCUUAAAGCAAACAAUAGGAGCUGUAUCUCAAGGGGUGCAGAUCAGCCGAACCCCAGCAACGGCAGCGGAGCUGCUUUUUUCCCCCCAAGCCUGCAAGAAGUGACAGAUCAAACACUCCUUCCUCCAGAUUUGCUAGGGCCAAGACCUGUGUAUGGCUGUACCCUUGAGUGACAAACUUUCUUGUGUUUUUUUCCCCCUGCCCAUCAUAAAGCACUGCACCAGGUGUUUGCACUUAACCUCCCUCUGCUCUUCAGCAAAACAAAAACCACGCUGCAUUUCCACGGCGUCCUGUGAAGCAUCCUCACUGUGUGCUUCCCAGGGUUAAUCAUUGAAGUUAAUGAUAAAAGUAGCGCAAAGCAGCAAGGGGAUACGUGCCUGUCUCAGUUAGUUUCAAGGCUGUUGCAGUCUGCCUGCUCCAAAUCACAGAAGGGAGCUGAUGCCACCGGUGAGGAGCAAUGGUUAAAAAAGAAAAGCCUUGGCUGCUUCCCAGAGAGCUGAAGUACUAAUUAGGGCCAUGGACAGUCGGCUAAUUCAGACCUUAAUGAGCCCCGAGGGACUGCAAGAUAACAAAAGCUCAGAUGGGUACACCACUGUGCAGCCUUGAAGCUGGGCUGUUUUAGUGCUAAGAGCCUUGACGAUAAAUGUGGCAUCGUGCGUGGAACUGGGAGGAAACUGGAAAAGGAGCUUGUGAGAUCUGGAGGCAGGUGCAGCUUCCUCUAAGGGCAGAUUUCACCCACAAAAAGCCAAAAGCACCCCAGUGAGACUGGAGGCCUCUGUAGUGGAAAACAAGAUGUGAAGUUCGGUUUUAGUCCUGGGGUUGCAAAGACGGGUCAAAGGUGGGACCGAAGUCAUCGUCUUGUUUUGAGGAUGUUGGGCUGGAUCUUAAAUUUCUUCUCUUGGUGGUUACCUUUUGGUUUUCUUUUGAAGAGUCGUGGUGCCUUUCGUCUCCUUCAUUUCCUUGGAAAGCACUUUUUGUGUGGGCAUGGCCAACAUCUAGCAUAGGAUGCUUCCUUGCCACCAGGACCCAAACCAGAUGUAAAGCAAAAAAGAAAAAAAAGCAAAAAUCCUUCCAGCUGGCCUUGCAACCUGCUCCCAGUGAACCCCAGGUACCCCUCAAUCACCCUCAGUGAGCUUUGGCUAAGGUGCCAUGGACCCUCCGUGGUUGUGUGGCUCUUUCCAGCAGCACCUUCCUCUUGUGGGUUUUUGCUUUUUCAAAGCACAACCACACGACUGGGAGCAUAAUGAGGAGAUCUUGUUGGGAGCAUCCUGGCAAACGUGGGCUUGUUGGUGUGCUCCUGCCAGCCUGCUCAGACAAGGCAAAUAUUCCUGCCUCUGUGUCUGUGCGGGCAUUCCUGCCCCGGUCUCCCUCGUGGGCUGUGAUGGGCAGGAUCUGGCCUUUAAUCACAGGUUUUUGUGAAGGUUUGUGCCUGUACGGCUGCAGCACCAAUUAUCCCUGCAUUUAGCCUGCUGAGAAGUUAGAGGUAAUUGACACAAUUUUGCUUCAAAGCUCGUUUUUAAUGAAUUAAAUUUAAAUUUAAUUAA